Molecule: long non-coding RNA, 802 nt
Filed under: Zonotrichia albicollis (white-throated sparrow)
Lineage: Eukaryota; Metazoa; Chordata; Aves; Passeriformes; Passerellidae
Description: lncRNA (ENSZALG00000014663.1)
Source: RNAcentral
CAAUAAUAAUCUCAGCUAAGAGAUGACACAAGUCAUAAACAGGUGCACAUGCAGAGGAUUUUAAAAUGUAACAGAACACACAAAGAUCAUGCUGCUGCUCUGGGUACAGAAGAAUUUCAAGUGAAUGUAUAUAUCCAUCCAUUUACUCUGGUUUUCUGCACUGGCAUUUUGCAUAAAAUCGGUGUUCUAGAUCUUUGAGACUGCUUCCACAAGAACUUAAACCCAUGAUCAGCACAUCUGACCAGAGACUGUGCAGGUAAAAAAUCAAGCUGUCAUUGUAUUUUGGUACAAAAUCACCAAAUACUGGCAAGGACAGUGAAGAUACUUUUCUGAUGAUUGCACCAGAUGAGCCCAAUUUGAGGAUCUUGAAAGACUUUGCAGCCUGAAAGAGAUUCAUAACAGAGCAUAUACCUAUUUACUUGUAUCUUGUAGCUUUGAAUCUUGGUGAAUACCUAUGGGAUUUGGAAGUAAUUGCUCUAUUCAUACAUUUUGUGUCUUGGGCCAGUACUUAUAGUAUUCCAUGUACAGGGUAUUGAAAUGACUCUAGGAUUUGUGUUUUGAUUUUUUUACAUUUCAGCAAAGAAAAGAUCUUAAUGCCUAAUUUAUGUAUGUCUUUCUUUUACAGCCUGUAUAACUGUCCCAUAAACCAAUCAGCUGUGAACAACUAAGUAAUUUAUUGUUUAAGUGAAUUUAUAGUACUGUAGAAUUAACAUGCUUAUCUCAUACAUAUUUCUGCCUGCUUUUAAAAGCUAUUGUAACUGUGAAACAGUAAGCAGAUUUCACUUCUUUUUUUCCCAUUGAG